This 429-nucleotide ribosomal RNA is filed under the name Chloroflexota bacterium. Its description in RNAcentral is "Chloroflexi bacterium partial 16S ribosomal RNA". It matches the Rfam family "Bacterial small subunit ribosomal RNA", at positions 355 to 776 of the family's 1533-position model. Lineage: Bacteria; Bacillati; Chloroflexota. The record is from RNAcentral.
UGGGGAAUAUUGCACAAUGGGCGCAAGCCUGAUGCAGCCAUGCCGCGUGUAUGAAGAAGGCCUUCGGGUUGUAAAGUACUUUCAGUCGGGAGGAAGGUGGUAAGGUUAAUAACCUUGGCAAUUGACGUUACCGACAGAAGAGGCACCGGCUAACUCCGUGCCAGCAGCCGCGGUAAUACGGAGGGUGCAAGCGUUAAUCGGAAUUACUGGGCGUAAAGCGCACGCAGGCGGUUGAUUGAGUCAGAUGUGAAAUCCCCGGGCUUAACCCGGGAAUUGCAUCUGAUACUGGUCAGCUAGAGUCUUGUAGAGGGGGGUAGAAUUCCAUGUGUAGCGGUGAAAUGCGUAGAGAUGUGGAGGAAUACCGGUGGCGAAGGCGGCCCCCUGGACAAAGACUGACGCUCAGGUGCGAAAGCGUGGGGAGCAAACAGG